Molecule: ribosomal RNA, 253 nt
Filed under: uncultured bacterium
Lineage: Bacteria
Description: partial 16S ribosomal RNA
Rfam family: Bacterial small subunit ribosomal RNA
Source: RNAcentral
UACGAAGGGGGCUAGCGUUGUUCGGAAUUACUGGGCGUAAAGCGCACGUAGGCGGAUUGUUAAGUCAGAGGUGAAAUCCCGGAGCUCAACUUCGGAACUGCCUUUGAUACUGGCAAUCUAGAGUCCGGAAGAGGUUAGUGGAAUUCCCAGUGUAGAGGUGAAAUUCGUAGAUAUCGGGAGGAACACCGGUGGCGAAGGCGGCGACCUGGGUCGACACUGACGCUGAGGCGCGAAAGCGUGGGGAGCAAACAGG